GCUACGGGAGGCAGCAGUGGGGGAUAUUGCACAAUGGGGGAAACCCUGAUGCAGCGACGCCGCGUGUGGGCAGACGGUCUUCUGGAUUGUACACCACUGUCCCCAGGGACGAAAAUGACGGUACCUGGGGAGGAAGCUCCGGCUAACUACGUGCCAGCAGCCGCGGUAAUACGUAGGUAGCACGCGUUGUACGGCAUUACUGGGUGUAAAGGGGGCGUUGGCGGGGAUGGAAGUGGGGUGGCAAGACUACCGGCUCAACCGAUAGUCGCACGCAACACUGCAACUCUUGAGUGAAGUAGAGGCAGGCGGAAUGCCUAGUGUAGCGGUGAAAUGCGUAGAUAUUAGGAGGAACCCCAGUGGCGAAGGCGGCCGUCUGGGCUUUUACUGACGCUGAGGCUCGAAAGUGUGGGGAGCAAACAGGAUUAGAUACCCCAGUAGUC
This 440-nucleotide ribosomal RNA is filed under the name uncultured bacterium. RNAcentral describes it as "partial 16S ribosomal RNA". It matches the Rfam family "Bacterial small subunit ribosomal RNA", at positions 338 to 795 of the family's 1533-position model. The record is from RNAcentral.